Molecule: ribosomal RNA, 484 nt
Filed under: uncultured bacterium
Lineage: Bacteria
Description: partial 16S ribosomal RNA
Rfam family: Bacterial small subunit ribosomal RNA
Source: RNAcentral
AUUGAAUGCUGGCGGCAGGCCUAACACAUGCAAGUCGAGCGGAUGAAGGGAGCUUGCUCCUGGAUUCAGCGGCGGACGGGUGAGUAAUGCCUAGGAAUCUGCCUGGUAGUGGGGGAUAACGUCCGGAAACGGGCGCUAAUACCGCAUACGUCCUGAGGGAGAAAGUGGGGGAUCUUCGGACCUCACGCUAUCAGAUGAGCCUAGGUCGGAUUAGCUAGUUGGUGGGGUAAAGGCCUACCAAGGCGACGAUCCGUAACUGGUCUGAGAGGAUGAUCAGUCACACUGGAACUGAGACACGGUCCAGACUCCUACGGGAGGCAGCAGUGGGGAAUAUUGGACAAUGGGCGAAAGCCUGAUCCAGCCAUGCCGCGUGUGUGAAGAAGGUCUUCGGAUUGUAAAGCACUUUAAGUUGGGAGGAAGGGCAGCAAGUUAAUACCUUGCUGUUUUGACGUUACCAACAGAAUAAGCACCGGCUAACUUCGUG